UCCCUUUGAUUUUCUUUCAUCCUCCAAAAAUCUCUCAAAUUUUCUUCGUUGUUGUGAAUUCUCGCUUUCAAAUUCAAGUAAAGUCUCUGUUCUUCGAUUUUUUUUAAAAUCUCUUUUUCUUUCUUCGUUUUAAUCUCUCCAUUCUACUUUGAAUUUUUGUUCUAAUAUCUUUGUUUUCUUCUUUUUGUCUGUGUUUUGAAUCUUUUGAUUCUUUUCGUAAUCAUUUUUCUUCGUUCCCAUACCUCUCUUUCCAAGUCUGAUGAGUUUCUCCGAUUCUUUUUCAUUUUUCUAUUUUUUUUGUCAUAAUUGAUUCUUCGUCAUCUUUUGUUUCUUUACUUAUGAAUUCAUUCACGGCUGACUCGAUUUUUCUUUCUUUCUUUUUUUUUUUUUGCAAAUUUUGGGGUCAAAUUUUAUUAAAGGUAUGUGCACUAUUUUUUUGAAGAUUUGAUUCUUCUUCUUCUUUUUUUUGGUUAUAAUUUGCUCAUCUAAUCUAUCAUGCGAUAUAUCGUUUUGAG
RNAcentral lists this long non-coding RNA (515 nucleotides) under Gossypium barbadense (sea-island cotton). RNAcentral describes it as "long non-coding RNA (GBAR_LNC007963)". Lineage: Eukaryota; Viridiplantae; Streptophyta; Magnoliopsida; Malvales; Malvaceae. The record is from RNAcentral.